This 72-nucleotide transfer RNA is filed under the name Cricetulus griseus (Chinese hamster). It matches the Rfam family "tRNA". From Rfam's summary of the family: Transfer RNA (tRNA) molecules are approximately 80 nucleotides in length. Lineage: Eukaryota; Metazoa; Chordata; Mammalia; Rodentia; Cricetidae. The record is from Rfam by way of RNAcentral.
UGAAGUGUAGCCUAGUGGUAGGGCGCUUGCCUAGCAAGCACAAAGCUCUGGGUCCUAGCCCCAGAACUACAA